RNAcentral lists this ribosomal RNA (468 nucleotides) under uncultured bacterium. Its description in RNAcentral is "partial 16S ribosomal RNA". It matches the Rfam family "Bacterial small subunit ribosomal RNA", at positions 28 to 507 of the family's 1533-position model. The record is from RNAcentral.
GACGAACGCUGGCGGCGUGCUUAACACAUGCAAGUCGAACGGAAAGGCCCUGCUUUUGUGGGGUGCUCGAGUGGCGAACGGGUGAGUAACACGUGAGUAACCUGCCCUUGACUUUGGGAUAACUUCAGGAAACUGGGGCUAAUACCGGAUAGGAGCUCCUGCAGCAUGGUGGGGGUUGGAAAGUUUCGGCGGUUGGGGAUGGACUCGCGGCUGAUCAGCUUGUUUGUGGGGUAUUGGCUUACCAAGGCUCUGACGGGUAGCCGGCCUGGGAGGGGGAACGGGCCCAUGAGGACUGAGAUACGGCCCAGACUGCUACGGGAGGCAGCAGUGGGGAAUAUUGCACAAUGGGCGGAAGCCUGAUGCGGCAACGCCGCGUGCGGGAUGACGGCCUUCGGGGUGUAAACCGCCUUCGCCUGUGACGAAGCGUGAGUGACGGUAAUGGGUAAAGAAGCACCGGCUAACUACGUG